AACGCGAAAGUUUUCUUCGGAAAGCGAGUAGAGUGGCGCACGGGUGAGUAACGCGUAAAUAAUCUACCCUGGUGUCCGGGAUAACCCUUCGAAAGGGGGACUAAUACCGGCUAUAUGAUUCAUUGUUGGGUGAAUCAGGAAAGGUGGCCUCUUCUUGAAAGCUAUCGCACUGGGAUGAGUUUGCGUACCAUUAGCUAGUUGGUGGGGUAAAGGCCUACCAAGGCAACGAUGGUUAGCGGGUCUGAGAGGAUGAUCCGUCACACUGGCACUGGAACACGGGCCAGACUCCUACGGGAGGCAGCAGUGAGGAAUAUUGCGCAAUGGGGGAAACCCUGACGCAGCGACGCUGCGUGAGUGAGGAAGGCCUUCGGGUCGUAAAGCUCUGUCAGAAGGGAAGAAAUGUAUAUUGGUUAAUACCCAAUAUAUUUGACGGUACCUUCAAAGGAAGCACCGGCUAACUCCGUGCCAGCAGCCGCGGUAAUACGGAGGGUGCGAGCGUUGUUCGGAAUCACUGGGCGUAAAGGGCGCGCAGGCGGCUUGAUUAGUCAGAUGUGAAAGCCCACGGCUUAACCGUGGAAGUGCAUUUGAAACUGUCAGGCUUGAGUACCAGAGGGGAAGGUGGAAUUCCCGGUGUAGAGGUGAAAUUCGUAGAUAUCGGGAGGAAUACCGGUGGCGAAGGCGACUUUCUGGCUGGAUACUGACGCUGAGGCGCGAAAGCGUGUGGAGCAAACAGGAUUAGAUACCCUGGUAGUCCACGCCGUAAACGAUGUGAACUAGAUGUUGGAGGAGUGAAAUCCUUUA
This 801-nucleotide ribosomal RNA is filed under the name uncultured bacterium. RNAcentral describes it as "bacterial SSU rRNA". It matches the Rfam family "Bacterial small subunit ribosomal RNA", at positions 65 to 842 of the family's 1533-position model. The record is from RNAcentral.